GACGAACGCUGGCGGCGUGCUUAACACAUGCAAGUCGAGCGGUAAGGCCCUUUCGGGGGUACGACGAGCGGCGAACGGGUGAGUAACACGUGGGUGACCUGCCCUUAGCUCUGGGAUAAGCCUGGGAAACUGGGUCUAAUACCGGAUAUGACUCCAUGACGCAUGUUGUGGGGUGGAAAGCCUUGUGCGGCUAGGGAUGGGCCCGCGGCCUAUCAGCUUGUUGGUGGGGUGAUGGCCUACCAAGGCGACGACGGGUAGCCGGCCUGAGAGGGCGACCGGCCACACUGGGACUGAGACACGGCCCAGACUCCUACGGGAGGCAGCAGUGGGGAAUCUUGCGCAAUGGGCGAAAGCCUGACGCAGCGACGCCGCGUGGGGAUGACGGCCUCGGUUGUAACC
RNAcentral lists this ribosomal RNA (399 nucleotides) under uncultured bacterium. Its description in RNAcentral is "bacterial SSU rRNA". It matches the Rfam family "Bacterial small subunit ribosomal RNA", at positions 28 to 430 of the family's 1533-position model. The record is from RNAcentral.